RNAcentral lists this ribosomal RNA (245 nucleotides) under uncultured bacterium. RNAcentral's name for it is "partial small subunit ribosomal RNA". It matches the Rfam family "Bacterial small subunit ribosomal RNA", at positions 26 to 285 of the family's 1533-position model. The record is from RNAcentral.
AGAAUCAACGCUGGCGGCGUGCCUAACACAUGCAAGUCGAACGAGAAAGUGGAGCAAUCCAUGAGUAAAGUGGCGCACGGGUGAGUAACACGUGACUAACCUACCCUUGAGUGGGGGAUAACCUAGAGAAAUCUGGGCUAAUACCGCGUAAUACCUUCGGGUCAAAGGAGCAAUUCGCUUAAGGAGGGGGUCGCGGCCGAUUAGUUAGUUGGCGGGGUAAUGGCCCACCAAGACUGUGAUCGGUA